Molecule: transfer RNA, 22 nt
Filed under: Entamoeba ecuadoriensis
Lineage: Eukaryota; Evosea; Mastigamoebida; Endamoebidae
Description: tRNA-Ser
Source: RNAcentral
CUGCUAAGGAGUUUCCAUUUGG